AGCCCUGGGGCCAUGGCUCAGUGGCAGAGCAACUGCUAUGCAUGCAGAAGGUCCCAGGUUCAUUUCCAGGAAGGGCUG
Molecule: non-coding RNA, 78 nt
Organism: Podarcis lilfordi (Lilford's wall lizard)
Lineage: Eukaryota; Metazoa; Chordata; Lepidosauria; Squamata; Lacertidae
Source: the annotation of a GenBank genome assembly